This 276-nucleotide ribosomal RNA is filed under the name Triticum aestivum (bread wheat). RNAcentral's name for it is "partial small subunit ribosomal RNA". The record is from RNAcentral. Lineage: Eukaryota; Viridiplantae; Streptophyta; Magnoliopsida; Poales; Poaceae.
AUGAGCGCUUCGGUCAAAGAAUGGUGGAACAACAACCUUCGGAUUCGUCUCGGCUCUCCCAAAGCCCUUGCCUCAUUGAUGAUGCUCAUCUCUUGGGAGGUUUGGUCCAAAAGAAACGCUAGAUUCUUCCGCAACGUGGCGGUUCCAUCGGUGGUCAUCAUCAACAAGAUCAAGCACGAGGCGUCGCUUUGGGCUUUGGCGGGUGCCAAGCACUUGAGUAUUUCUAAUGUCGCGAGAGUAAUUUUCCUUCGGCUGCCGCUUGCGGCUUCUAUCUAA